RNAcentral lists this ribosomal RNA (496 nucleotides) under uncultured bacterium. Its description in RNAcentral is "partial 16S ribosomal RNA". It matches the Rfam family "Bacterial small subunit ribosomal RNA", at positions 28 to 507 of the family's 1533-position model. The record is from RNAcentral.
GAUGAACGCUGGCGGCGUGCCUAAUACAUGCAAGUCGAGCGAACGGACGAGAAGCUUGCUUCUCUGAUGUUAGCGGCGGACGGGUGAGUAACACGUGGAUAACCUACCUAUAAGACUGGGAUAACUUCGGGAAACCGGAGCUAAUACCGGAUAAUAUUUUGAACCGCAUGGUUCAAAAGUGAAAGACGGUCUUGCUGUCACUUAUAGAUGGAUCCGCGCUGCAUUAGCUAGUUGGUAAGGUAACGGCUUACCAAGGCAACGAUGCAUAGCCGACCUGAGAGGGUGAUCGGCCACACUGGAACUGGGACACGGUCCAGACUCCUACGGGAGGCAGCAGUAGGGAAUCUUCCGCAAUGGGCGAAAGCCUGACGGAGCAACGCCGCGUGAGUGAUGAAGGUCUUCGGAUCGUAAAACUCUGUUAUUAGGGAAGAACAUAUGUGUAAGUAACUGUGCACAUCUUGACGGUACUAAUCAGAAAGCCACGGCUAACUACGUG